GCCUUUAUAGCUCAGUGGUAGAGCGCUUGACGUAUGUGAUACCAUUAUUCUUAACUUAACACGUCAAUCAAACUAACAGUUCCAAAGUUGUAUAUUGAACGGUAUCAAGAGGUCCGUGGUUCAAUCCCGCGUGGAGGCA
Molecule: transfer RNA, 139 nt
Filed under: Aspergillus bombycis
Lineage: Eukaryota; Fungi; Ascomycota; Eurotiomycetes; Eurotiales; Aspergillaceae
Rfam family: tRNA
About the family: Transfer RNA (tRNA) molecules are approximately 80 nucleotides in length. Their secondary structure includes four short double-helical elements and three loops (D, anti-codon, and T loops). Further hydrogen bonds mediate the characteristic L-shaped molecular structure. tRNAs have two regions of fundamental functional importance: the anti-codon, which is responsible for specific mRNA codon recognition, and the 3' end, to which the tRNAs corresponding amino acid is attached (by aminoacyl-tRNA synthetases). tRNAs cope with the degeneracy of the genetic code in two manners: having more than one tRNA (with a specific anti-codon) for a particular amino acid; and 'wobble' base-pairing, i.e. permitting non-standard base-pairing at the 3rd anti-codon position.
Source: Rfam by way of RNAcentral